UACGUAGGGUGCAAGCGUUGUCCGGAAUUAUUGGGCGUAAAGAGCUCGUAGGCGGUCUGUCGCGUCUGCUGUGAAAACUCGGGGCUUAACCCUGAGCUUGCAGUGGGUACGGGCAGACUAGAGUGCGGUAGGGGAGACUGGAAUUCCUGGUGUAGCGGUGAAAUGCGCAGAUAUCAGGAGGAACACCGGUGGCGAAGGCGGGUCUCUGGGCCGAUACUGACGCUGAGGAGCGAAAGCGUGGGGAGCGAACAGG
RNAcentral lists this ribosomal RNA (253 nucleotides) under uncultured bacterium. Its description in RNAcentral is "partial 16S ribosomal RNA". It matches the Rfam family "Bacterial small subunit ribosomal RNA", at positions 524 to 776 of the family's 1533-position model. The record is from RNAcentral.